RNAcentral lists this ribosomal RNA (253 nucleotides) under uncultured bacterium. RNAcentral's name for it is "partial 16S ribosomal RNA". It matches the Rfam family "Bacterial small subunit ribosomal RNA", at positions 524 to 776 of the family's 1533-position model. The record is from RNAcentral.
UACGUAGGGGGCAAGCGUUGUCCGGAUUUACUGGGCGUAAAGGGCGUGCAGGCGGCUUGUUAAGUGCAGGGUGAAAGCUCCCGGCUCAACUGGGAGAGGUUCUUGCAUACUGGCGAGCUCGAGGGAGGCAGAGGAAAGUGGAAUUCCCGGUGUAGUGGUGAUAUGCGUAGAUAUCGGGAGGAACACCUGUGGCGAAGGCGGCUUUCUGGGCCUUACCUGACGCUGAGACGCGAAAGCGUGGGGAGCGAACAGG